UUAGUAUUUCUUGGUCACACCAAGUACAAAACAAAUGCACUGAUUUUGGUCAUAUUUGACAUUCAAUUUGCUUAACAUCAAAAUAUUCUGGAGUUCUGGGAUAAAAGAUUGUGAACCUGUUUUCUGUCUUUGCAUUCUUCAUACCGUGAUAGAAAUAGGUUAAACCAAAGAAUGGUUAUAAGAGAACUUCAGUCUAAUAGUUUUUCUUUUUAAUACUAUUUUUAUGGUAAAUACAGACAUGUAACUUGUGAUUUCAUUACAACGUCAUGUACAAAGCAAGCAAAAAAGCACACAAAUAAUUCUUCACAGAAACUUGAAAAAAAAAAAGGCCCUUAACAAGCAAGAUAUAUUUCAAAGACAAAACUGAUAAAGUUAAAAUCUAGAAUUAUAUUCAAGUUAAAGCACUACAAUGAGUAGAUACAUUAACAUUCCAAACUAUAAAACUUACGGGGGAAAAAAACAUUUUAAAUGAAGGAAAUCUGUUCACAUUCCAAACAGCGGACAUAAAUACGAAGAAAAGAGCAAAAUCCAAGACUGCUUUUUUAAUCCCAGAAGUAUGACUUUCUUCUACGAGUUGCUAAUAUAGGUGGAGAUUUAAAGUCCAUUUCCUAAGACUCUUACAUUUAGCUGUCUAGUCUACUCUUACUGAACUGGAAAACCUGGCCCG
This 667-nucleotide long non-coding RNA is filed under the name Bos taurus (domestic cattle). RNAcentral describes it as "long non-coding RNA NONBTAT009661". The record is from RNAcentral. Lineage: Eukaryota; Metazoa; Chordata; Mammalia; Artiodactyla; Bovidae.